Long non-coding RNA from Etheostoma cragini (Arkansas darter), 86 nucleotides. RefSeq lists it as uncharacterized. The record is from RefSeq and is a predicted model, not a curated record. The transcript has 3 exons. Lineage: Eukaryota; Metazoa; Chordata; Actinopteri; Perciformes; Percidae.
AACGUGUUUGCUUACAGUUGCUUAUUUACACAUCCAGCAGUUAGGGAGCAACAUCAUAAUUCAUUUGGAGUUGCUGUUUCUGGUCA